Molecule: signal recognition particle RNA, 259 nt
Filed under: bacterium
Lineage: Bacteria
Description: signal recognition particle sRNA large type
Rfam family: Bacterial large signal recognition particle RNA
About the family: The signal recognition particle (SRP) is a universally conserved ribonucleoprotein involved in the co-translational targeting of proteins to membranes. Archaeal SRP consists of a 7S RNA and homologues of the eukaryotic SRP19 and SRP54 proteins.
Source: RNAcentral
CCGUACUCCACGGGGAGUUAGCGGAUCCCUUGACUCGAACGCUUUUGCGGGGUGCAGAGCCUACUGUGAGGCUAAUGAGAGUUUGGCGGAAGUUGAUUUUAUCGUUGACAUUUUAAAUUGUAAUGGCGUAAGCUGUCGAACCGUGUCAGGGUGGAAACACAGCAGCACUAAGACAUGUCUUUACGGGUGUUAUAAGCUUAAAAUCGAGGUAAUAUCUUUCGGAAACUGAAUUUUUGUUUGUCGAUAGGUAGUGGUACGG